AGCAGCCGCGGUAAUUCCAGCUCCAAUAGCGUAUAUUAAAGUUGUUGCAGUUAAAAGCUCGUAGUUGAAUUUCGGGAUCAAUAUGUUGGUCGUGCCUCGGUACGUACUAGCUUAUUGGUUUCUCCUUUCUGAAGAACCAUGAUGUCAUUUAUUUGGUGUCGUGGGGAAUCAGGACUGUUACUUUGAAGAAAUUAGAGUGUUUAAAGCAGGCUCACGCUUGAAUACAUUAGCAUGGAAUAAUGAAAUAGGACGUUUGAUUCUAUUUUGUUGGUUUCUAGGAUCGACGUAAUGAUUAAUAGGGAUAGUUGGGGGCAUUAGUAUUCAAUUGUCAGAGGUGAAAUUCUUGGAUUUAUUGAAGACUAACUACUGCGAAAGCAUUUGCCAAGGAUGUUUUCAUUAAUCAAGACGAAAGUUAGGGGAUCGAAGACGAUCAGAUACCGUCGUAGUCUUAACCAUAAACUAUGCCGACUAGGGAUCGGAUGAUGUUAAUUUUUAAUGA
This 499-nucleotide unclassified non-coding RNA is filed under the name uncultured Glomus. RNAcentral describes it as "SSU rRNA". It matches the Rfam family "Eukaryotic small subunit ribosomal RNA", at positions 569 to 1074 of the family's 1831-position model. The record is from RNAcentral. Lineage: Eukaryota; Fungi; Glomeromycota; Glomeromycetes; Glomerales; Glomeraceae.